GUGCUCAUUUAAGCAGCAUGUGUACAAAAUUGGAAGGGUACAGAGAUUAGCAUCGCUCCUGUGUAAGAAUGACACGCAAUUUUGAAAAACAUUCUGUAUUUUA
Molecule: small nuclear RNA, 103 nt
Organism: Jaculus jaculus (lesser Egyptian jerboa)
Lineage: Eukaryota; Metazoa; Chordata; Mammalia; Rodentia; Dipodidae
Source: Ensembl